UGUUUGUCACCGUGUCUGGGAACCCCACC
RNAcentral lists this non-coding RNA (29 nucleotides) under Mus musculus (house mouse). Lineage: Eukaryota; Metazoa; Chordata; Mammalia; Rodentia; Muridae. The record is from RNAcentral.